This is a long non-coding RNA of Ailuropoda melanoleuca (giant panda), 7913 nucleotides long. RefSeq lists it as uncharacterized. NCBI's taxonomy places the organism in Eukaryota, Metazoa, Chordata, Mammalia, Carnivora, Ursidae. The transcript is spliced from 2 exons. The record is from RefSeq and is a predicted model, not a curated record.
UGUGAACGACCCUCCAUCUGCUUUAGGCCCCUUGAGACUCCCUGGCCGUCCCUGGGUGAGCGUUCGCCGCUCCCCGUCAAACCUGAGCGGCGAGCAACUUGGGUUAUGCUUCUAACACGCGAGCAACUUGGGUUAUGCUUCUAACACGUGUGGACCACCCAAGAAAGCAGCGCUUCUGUGAGGCUUAUUCGUGAUCGGUUCUGUCUCGUACAGAGGGCAUGGAGCAGGGACUGUUGUCACCAACUGCCUUUUCCUUUACGAGUUUCACAACAGAUGAGAUUGUUUCCCAAGAGGCCGGUAGCAAGCUGCUCAGACGUACAGUCUGAGUCAAGUUCCUGCUCCCAGCAUGAGGAGGGGGGAGUGGGAUUCCCGCUGAGCCCAAGUGCAGACAGAAGAGCCUAGCUGCUGGGUGGGCCAUGGGCAGGUCUGACCUGUUCCCUGGCCGCAGACUUCUGGAAGCAGCAGGGGUCUACUGCUCUGCUGUACCCCUUUUGGUGAGGCUUGAGGUCCUGUCUUGAGGCUCCAAUUUCUCUGAAAAGGAACAGAGGGCUCUUUGAUGCUGACUGGGUGCAGGGGACCAUAGGAACCAUAACCCUGGCCCCAAUGUACCAAUGAAGAGACCAACUCGCACAGACCCCUUUGAGCAUAGGAUCCAGCGGAGGACAGGGGUUUCAGCUUAUGCCACUAGUCCCCUAGGAUCCCAAGUGGUUCGGUGGCAAGUUUUCUAAGUUUCAGGAGUCAAGCUGCACAUAUAUUUCGUCCUCUAUACUUCUUGCUUUGCGUCUGGUAAGGGCCAUGAGAUGCUGGGUCCAUCUAGGUAUACCUAGACUAGUUUUUUGCUGUUGAUCAGGCAGGUAGGAUUUCCCAGCUUCUGGCCCUUCUCCCACUCUAUGUUCCUCCCCAAGAACAACCUGAGUGCGUGGCCCAUGUUAGUCCUUAAUUCUCUUCCCUCAGCACAAUGUGGCAGUCAUCAGACACCACGACUGGCCUUGUGCUAGGCACUAGGCUGUAGACAUCUGGGGUUUGGGGUCUGCUCUCAAAGCUCCGAUGCCCAUGGGGCACACUAGCCAUGUUAUAGAUGGGGCUAACAUCAACCCUCGUUAGUAAUAGAGUUCUGGAGCCUGAAUUCAAAUUCUGGCUGGCUUGCUGUGUGACCUGGGACAAUAUAUUACCCUUUCUGUGGGAAUAACAGAGUGAGGAAAUACUCCAAGAAGAAGUGAUAAAAUUUGACCUGAGUCUGGAAAUUUGAGUAGACCUUAGAUCCAGGUAACUGGUGUUCAGGGAAUGACAGGUGUGGCUAGAAAUGCCUACAGAGAUCAUUUCACAGUGUGCAUUGUAGGAAUGUUGAGGAAUUGACUUUAUUCUGAGGACAGUGAGGAAAUAAUAAGCGUUCUAAGCAAGGGGUCACAUGACCAUAUUUGGCAGCUGCUUACUCCAGCUGCUAUGAAAAGCCAGAAGACCAGCGAGACAUCUGCAGGAGUUUCCUUGGCAAGAGCCUGGUGGCCAGCUAGGAGUGGUGGCUACGGAGUCUAUAAGACCUGUGAAAAGUGGGUUCAGCCUGUGGACCACCUCUGGAUCCCCCCAGCAUGGACACCAUGCCUACCUUGGGCCCUGAGUUGACCGUGAUUCUCUGAUGUUGAUCCCCUAGCAGGGCUCCUAGUGUGUGCCCAUCUCUUGCCCACAGGCUGUUCCUGGGGCAUCUUAGGAUGGGGGUCAGCUCCCUCCAACUCAAUUCCUGGAAGAAUCAUCAGAGCUUGAACUGGAGCUGGCCCCAGUAGCCACAACACCCCACGACAACUGGUUUGACCUGUCUCUUUUCCCUUCCUCGCCGGUGUCAUUCACCUCAGGGUGAAGAUUGGGUAGCUGUUGGCCUCCAAAGCCAUAGCUCCCCUUGUUGUGCCCUGCUCAUAGGGUCCUAUGGCCACCUCUGGGGACUCACAUCAUCACACGCUCACACUCAUGCAAAAGGCUUUACUUUUUUCAGCAGCCUUCCCUUCCCUGCUUCUUUUUUGGGUUGUGGGGUAAAAUAAGAGACAAAUGGGUGCUGGUGUCAGGAGGAGGGAGGGGAGAAGUACCAGGGGAAGUGGGGGGAGGUGGCUCCCCCCAGUGAGAUGGUGGCCCAAGGAGAAGUUCUGGAGUCAGGCUGGAGGCCGGUUCUGACCCCACCCCUAGCCACUUGGCUCACUUCAGAGGUUACAUCACUGCUCAAAGCCUCAGUUUCCUUAACUGUAAGAGGGGAUACAAGUAUAUGGAAAUAGGCUUAAUGUUAUUAAUCACUAAGGAAAUGUAGAUCAAAACCACAACAAGAUAUCACCACACAUCCAUUAAGAUGGCUGCUGUCAAAACAUACAGAAAAAAACAAGUGUUGGCAAGGAUGUGGAGAAAAGGGAACCCCUGUGCACUGCUGGUAGGAAUGAAAAAGGUGUAGCCACUAUGAGAAACAGCAUGGCGAUGCCUCAAAAAAUUAAAAGUAGGAUUGCCAUUGAAUCCAGCAAUAUCACUUCUGGGCGUAUAUACAGAAGAAUUGAAAGCAGGGUCUCAAAGAAAUAUUUGUAUGCUUAUGUUCAUAGCAACAUUAUACACAACAGCCCAAAGGUAAAAACAUCCCAAACGUCUGUCAGUGGAUAAAUAGAUAAAGAAAAUGUGGCAUAUGAUUACAAUGGAACAUCAUUCAGCCUUGAAAAGGAAGGAAAUUCUGUCACAUGCUACGGUACUAUGAACUUGGAGGGCAUUAUGCUAAGUGAAAUAAACCAGUCACAACAAGACAAAAUCUGUGUGAUUUCACUUACGUCAGAUAUGAAGAGUAGGCAAACUCAUAGAAACAGAAAGAAGUAGUUACUAGGGGCUGGGGCAAGGGGGGGAAAUGGGAGUUAUUGGUCAAUGGGUACAGAGUUUAGUUUUGCAAGAUGAAAAGAGUUCUGGAGAUUGCAUAACAAUAUGAAUAUAUGUAACUCUACUGAACUGUAUACUUAAAAAUCAUUGAGAUGGUAACUAUUAUGUUAUGUUGUUUGUUUUCACAAUUUUUAAAAAUGAGGAUCAUAGGCGUGCAUAGCUUCUCUGAGCUGUUGGGAGGACUCGGUGAGGCCAUGCUACAUGCCCCAGCACCAGCAAAUGGGCAUCAUCGGCCGGUGGGUGAGGAGAGGAUCUCCCAGUGGGCGUACUCUCUGGGACAGCUGAACCAACACCUGACCCCCACAGGGACGGCAAGGUCAGCCAGGAACCCAAGGAUGGCAUGUUCUGCUAUGGAAAUUCCUUUCAUAGAAUGCCAGGAGGCAGGAGUCUGGUGUUUGAGCUGAGACUUGCUUGAGUGCAUCUAUCUGUCUGUGUAUAUGUAAGGUAGUUUUCUUUCUCAAGGGUUGUUUGUGAAGUCCGAUUUACUAUUCUUGUGUAGUCAUUAAGAAUUACAUUUUUAAAAACUUCAUUUUGAAUUAAUUUUUGACUUAGAGAAAAGUUGUGAGUAUAGUACAGGGAAUUCACAUCUACCUUUCAACCAGCUUCCCUUAGUGUUAACAAUUUACAUAACCAUAAUUCAUGUAUCAAAACCAGGAAAUUAAUGUUGGUUGUACUAUGAUUAACUAGGCUAUAGACAGUAUUUGAAUUUCACUGGUUUUUCUAGUAACGUUCUUGUUCUGUGUUUGGAUCCAAACCAAAAGCCCAUGUUGUAUUUAGUUGGUAUGUCUUUUUAGUCUCCUCCAAUCUGUGACGGUGCCCUGUCUUUCAUGACCUUGACACUUUUUAUGAGUCUGUUAGUUAUUUGGAUGAAUGUCCCUUGGUUUGGAUUUGCAUGAUUUCUCUCAUGAUAAGACUGAGCUUGUGCACUUUUUGGUCAGAAUAUCAUAGGAGCAAUAUGUCCUCAGCCAUCAUACUAGUAGGUAUAUGAUGUCAAUACAGCUUGGGUAUUUUAUUUUAUUUUAUUUUAUUUUAUUUAUUUGUCAGAGAGAGAGAGAUAACACAAGCAGGGGGAGCAGCAGGCAGAGGGAGAAGCAGACUCCCCGCUGAGCAGAGAGCCUGAUGUGGGACUCGAUCCCAGGACCCUGAGAUCAUGACCUGAGCCGAAGGCAGACGCUUCACCAACUGAGCCACCCAGGCAUUCCUCGAUAUAGCUUGUUAAUGGCAAUGCCAACCUUGAUCAGUUGGUUAAGCUGGUGUCUGCUGGAUUUCUCUACCCUACAGUCACUAUUUUCCCCCUUCAUAAUGAUAAAUAUCUUGGGGGAGAGACUUUGAGACUCUACAAAUACGCUGUUUAUCCUCAAACAUUUACCCACUGGUUUUAUUUUAUUUUUUUUUUAAAGAUUUUAUUUAUUUAUUCGACAGAGAUAGAGACAGCCAGCGAGAGAGGGAACACAAGCAGGGGGAGUGGGAGAGGAAGAAGCAGGCUCAUAGCGGAGGAGCCUGAUGUGGGGCUCGAUCCCAUAACUCCGGGAUCACGCCCUGAGCCGAAGGCAGACGCUUAACCACUGUGCCACCCAGGAGCCCCUACCCACUGGUUUUAGCAUCCAUCUGAGGACGUUCACAGAAGCAAGUAUUACUGUGGUGUUUGCCUCAUGGUGAUCCACAUUUCUUCAACAUUCCUCCCAAUUUAUUAAUUGGAAUUCUUCUGUGCAUAAGAGCUUCCCCUCCCUCCCACUUCUUAUUUAUGCAAUUAUUACUUUAUAUUAGUGCCGACUCAUGCAUACUUACUUAAUUCCAUGAGUUACCAUCUAAUACUAUCCUGAUUGAUUUUGUUGCUCCAGCUGGCCCAGCUUGACCCACAUACUUUUUCACUUCAAGGGUAGAGAUGGUAAAAAUCCAGGGAAAGGUCCUUCAUCUGUCUCUGGAGUCAGAGCUGGAGGAGCCUGCCUUCUCCCUUGCAGGGUGGGGUGCCAGAUACCUCUCAGCGAUGUUAUCUGCAGCCUGGCAGCACGGGAAGGGGAGCGGGGACUGGUGAGAUCUGGCCCCACGGAUGGGGACUGCAACUUCUGUUGAGGAAGGAAGGGACCCCAAGCAUCCCCAAACAGUCUGUCUGAUAUGGAGUCCUUGUUGCUGAGACCUAUUGCAGUGGUGAGACCAGUCUCAAUGAGCAUGGCUCUCCAUACAAUCCUUCGGUGCCACAGACCCCAAAGAGAAAGGGACUACUUGUGAGAAAACUCAAAGGCCUCCUGCCCUAAGGCUGAAGGAACAGAGAGCUCAGCGAAUGUCUCGCUCUCCAGGGGGCCUAGAUUUAUCAGAAGGGCCACAGGGCAAGCAGUAAGGGUGAGCUUGGCUUGUGGCCAGGGUGUAAGUAUGGGCUCUCCUUUGCCUCAAACAUGCCCACUUUUCUCUUGGAACAUCAUUAGGUAGACUUGAUCCCCUUCAGCCCGUAGGCUGGGAAAACUAGGCAGUCACUUCUGAGCUGAGUACUGCUUCUCCUAGGCCCCAUGUUCCAGAGACCCUGUGAGAGCCUUUUUGUUAAGGGCCAGCUUCCUGUGUCAGGCUCCCAGUGGCCCGAGGCAGGUAUGUGUCUUCAUCAUAUGGGCUUCUGUCCUUUCCUGCAGUUUGCUGUGUCCUUUAGGAACCCAUGGGUGGAGGGGCUGGUGGGUAUGCCCUUGAGCAUGAUACAGCCUCCAGCAAAGGGUCUGAACCUCUAGAGGCACUAGCCUUGUGCCAUCUUUCCUGGGACCUGGGGUCAGGGCAUGGACAGAGGAGGACACUGAUUCUCCACCCAUAGCCCAAAGGUAUGAGGUAGCAACAUGGGGGCCUCCUCCUCUGUUAUCAGGGCACUUAUGGGAGGUAUUGGGAGUAGCAAAGGAGGACAAUGAGACAGACUGAGGCAGGUAUCUAGCUGGCCACUACAUGGGACUGCAUAUGGCUGCUCUCAGGGAUGUGACUCCUCUGAGUCCUGGGUGGGCUCUGGCAAAGGUAAAAACUUUGAGCGAUAGGCAGGCUUAGGCUACGUUCUAUCAGGCCUGCAAGCUACCAAGAAAUACUGCUAGCUAACAGGGGCACUGGCAGCUCAGCUGUCAGGACAGCCUGAAUAUUAACCAAGUUCACUCCCAGACUAGCUCUCUGUCAGAUUCCAAAGGGGAGAAGGGGUCAGACCUCCGCCCAGCCAACACCAGCAAGAUUUUCAGAAAGGUCUUUCCAGAAAAUAAAUAAAGGAGACUCAAGGGUUUUCCCUAGCUCUGGUGUGAAUGUACUUCCCUGUUUGUUUAUCAUCUGCAUCGCCCCAAACAGUUGGCCCCUUGCCUCUCAGCUGUGUUCCUCUGACAAAGGCAAACAGGAUCGGGGUGUGCUUUUGUCUGGAGGCUGCUUCACUCCCCUCUCCUGCCAAGUUUCUGAAUAAAAAGACUUUGUGCACCCCUCCUGGUGGGCAGCAGAACCUUCACACAGAGUCCAAGAGGCAGGAUGGUGUAUUGACAAAAACAAAGCUUGCACAGUGUGGGUCAGAGAGCCACAGGUGCCUCAGGCCUCUGCAGGGACAGUAAUUUGUGGCAGGUUAACUUCAGUUUAUGUUCAAGGCUAAUGCAGGGCUGCCAUGUUAUUUGAAAGCUUGGUCUGGUUUUAAGCAUGCCUCUGGAGCCCAAAAGAAAAGCAAGGAUCCCCAUGUGGAGUAUAGUGAUGGUGGAGAGUGAAUGGAGGCUCUCAGGAAAGGCGAGGUUGAGCCACACACCCUGGCAACGGGCAUAGAUGGCCCAAGGCUGACGGCUUCUGCUGCGUAUCUGCAGGACUGGAGGGCAGAGUCACAGCAGCACUUUCCAGAGCUGCCCCUCCAUGCUGAGGGGGCUGACACAGACCCCAUGCCAUUUACUUCUGUUCCCAGAGUGGAGCUAGUAGACCUAUGCUGGAUCCAGUGCCGGGAUGCAAGGGGGAGAGCCCGGUCUCUGAGUGCCCCUUCUCCUUCCCUCGGGUCCCUCCGCUCCCAUCCUCACCAUCCCACUCAAACCCCCUGGGUCUUUUGCUCUGGUUCAGCCUCCAGGGACCACAGAGCCCUCCACCAAGGCCUCCCCACCUAUGGUUGCUUUUUCUUUACCUCUAAUCUGAGAAGAAGGGAUACUGAAAACAUUUUAAGGUUUAGCCCCCCUCAAUCCCAUGAGCUCUGAGCUGUAGAGGCUUUAUUCCUCAUGAGUAUAACCAAGAGAUUGGGGAAUCCCAUCCUCACCUCACCCCUACUCAUAUAGUGGCAGCUUGACCCCUGAUUCCACAGGCUGGGAAUACAGGGUCCCUGGUUCUGCUCAUCCCGGAUUGUAUGUAAGGUAGAUGUUCCAUCCAGAAGAGGCAAGCCGAAAAGAUAGAGGCUACCACCCUCACCCAGUACCCGAUUCAUAAAGGAGGGUGUCACUCUGAGGGCUUCUUUACCUGUCACCAGCUCUGGAACAAGGGCUCAGAGAUAUUGUCCAGGGGGACAGGUAGUCCACAAGAACAGAGAGCUCUGAAGCUGUCCCCACAGGAAAUAACUUCAUUGGAAAGAAGUUGAAGAAGAAAAACACUAAACUGGAGCUCUGAAACUCAACGCAUUUCAAGGAGAAGAAAUAAAAAGAGUUCCACACACAGACACGUUAUGGUAAAACUGCUGAGAGCCAAAGACAAAGGGAAGGUUUUGAAAGCAGCAAGAAAAAUAUGACUUGUACAAGGGAACUUUAAUAAGUUUUAUGUUUGACUUCUCAUCGGAAACGAUGGAGGCGGGAAGGCAGUGGAAUAAUGUAUUCAAAAUGCUGAAAGAAAAAAGUUGUCAACCAAGAAUCUUAUUUCUUGCAAAAUUAUCUUUCAAAAAUGAAGUAAAGACGUUCCCAGAUACAAAAACAAACAAAAAGCGUGGGGAGAAAUUUUGGUACCGUGUUGCCUUACAAGAAAUACUUAAAGAAGUUCCUCAGGAGUAAGUUUUUUUUAAAUACACAACUUAAGUUCUGAAAACUAAAAAAUGUCUUUGAAAGAAAGUAAAGGAGACCUAAAUAAAU